Molecule: ribosomal RNA, 576 nt
Filed under: uncultured bacterium
Lineage: Bacteria
Description: bacterial SSU rRNA
Rfam family: Bacterial small subunit ribosomal RNA
Source: RNAcentral
ACGGGUGAGUAAUACAUCGGAACGUAUCCUGGAGUGGGGGAUAGCCCGGCGAAAGCCGGAUUAAUACCGCAUACGCUCUGAGGAGGAAAGCGGGGGACCUUCGGGCCUCGCGCUCAAGGGGCGGCCGAUGGCGGAUUAGGUAGUUGGUGGGGUAAAGGCCUACCAAGCCGACGAUCCGUAGCUGGUCUGAGAGGACGACCAGCCACACUGGGACUGAGACACGGCCCAGACUCCUACGGGAGGCAGCAGUGGGGAAUUUUGGACAAUGGGGGCAACCCUGAUCCAGCAAUGCCGCGUGUGUGAAGAAGGCCUUCGGGUUGUAAAGCACUUUUGUCCGGAAAGAAAUCAUCGGGGCCAAUACCCCUGGUGGAUGACGGUACCGGAAGAAUAAGCACUGGCUAACUACGUGCCAGCAGCCGCGGUAAUACGUAGGGUGCGAGCGUUAAUCGGAAUUACUGGGCGUAAAGCGUGCGCAGGCGGUGCUGUAAGACCGAUGUGAAAUCCCCGGGCUUAACCUGGGAACCGCAUUGGUGACUGCAGCGCUGGAGUAUGGCAGAGGGGGGUGGAAUUCCACGU